Molecule: unclassified non-coding RNA, 332 nt
Filed under: soil metagenome
Description: partial contains 5.8S ribosomal RNA, internal transcribed spacer 2, and large subunit ribosomal RNA
Rfam family: 5.8S ribosomal RNA (bases 1-120)
Source: RNAcentral
GAUGAAGAACGCAGCAAAAUGCGAUAAGUAAUGUGAAUUGCAGAAUUCAGUGAAUCAUCGAAUCUUUGAACGCACAUUGCGCCCGCCAGUAUUCUGGCGGGCAUGCCUGUUCGAGCGUCAUUUCAACCCUCAAGCUCAGCUUGGUGUUGGGACUCGCGGUAACCCGCGUUCCCCAAAUCGAUUGGCGGUCACGUCGAGCUUCCAUAGCGUAGUAAUCAUACACCUCGUUACUGGUAAUCGUCGCGGCCACGCCGUUAAACCCCAACUUCUGAAUGUUGACCUCGGAUCAGGUAGGAAUACCCGCUGAACUUAAGCAUAUCAUAAGCGGAGGA